Molecule: ribosomal RNA, 468 nt
Filed under: uncultured bacterium
Lineage: Bacteria
Description: partial 16S ribosomal RNA
Rfam family: Bacterial small subunit ribosomal RNA
Source: RNAcentral
GACGAACGCUGGCGGCGUGCUUAACACAUGCAAGUCGAACGGAAAGGCCCUGCUUUUGUGGGGUGCUCGAGUGGCGAACGGGUGAGUAACACGUGAGUAACCUGCCCUUGACUUUGGGAUAACUUCAGGAAACUGGGGCUAAUACCGGAUAGGAGCUCCUGCGGCAUGGUGGGGGUUGGAAAGUUUCGGCGGUUGGGGAUGGACUCGCGGCUUAUCAGCUUGUUGGUGGGGUAGUGGCUUACCAAGGCUUUGACGGGUAGCCGGCCUGGGAGGGUGACCGGACACAUUGGGACUGAGAUACGGCCCAGACUCCUACGGGAGGCAGCAGUGGGGAAUAUUGCACAAUGGGCGGAAGCCUGAUGCAGCAACGCCGCGUGCGGGAUGACGGCCUUCGGGUUGUAAACCGCUUUCGCCUGUGACGAAGCGUGAGUGACGGUAAUGGGUAAAGAAGCACCGGCUAACUACGUG